RNAcentral lists this ribosomal RNA (861 nucleotides) under Pseudocercospora macadamiae. RNAcentral describes it as "eukaryotic LSU rRNA". It matches the Rfam family "Eukaryotic large subunit ribosomal RNA", at positions 113 to 1008 of the family's 3401-position model. Lineage: Eukaryota; Fungi; Ascomycota; Dothideomycetes; Mycosphaerellales; Mycosphaerellaceae. The record is from RNAcentral.
AUUUGAAAUCUGGCGCAAGCCCGAGUUGUAAUUUGUAGAGGAUGCUUCUGGGUAGCGGCCGGUCUAAGUUCCUUGGAACAGGACGUCAUAGAGGGUGAGAAUCCCGUAUGUGACUGGCUUGCACCCUCCACGUAGCUCCUUCGACGAGUCGAGUUGUUUGGGAAUGCAGCUCUAAAUGGGAGGUAAAUUUCUUCUAAAGCUAAAUACCGGCCAGAGACCGAUAGCGCACAAGUAGAGUGAUCGAAAGAUGAAAAGCACUUUGGAAAGAGAGUUAAAAAGCACGUGAAAUUGUUGAAAGGGAAGCGCCCGCAACCAGACUUUGCGGCAGUGUUCGGCCGGUCUUCUGACCGGUUUACUCGCUGUCGUGAGGCCAUCAUCGUCUGGGACCGCUGGAUAAGACCUUAGGAAUGUGGCUCCCCUCGGGGAGUGUUAUAGCCUCUGGUGAUGCAGCGCGUCUCGGGCGAGGUCCGCGCUUCGGCAAGGAUGAUGGCGUAAUGGUUGUCGGCGGCCCGUCUUGAAACACGGACCAAGGAGUCUAACAUCUAUGCGAGUGUUCGGGUGUCAAACCCCUACGCGUAAUGAAAGUGAACGGAGGUGGGAACUUUUUGUGCACCAUCGACCGAUCCUGAUGUCCUCGGAUGGAUUUGAGUAAGAGCAUAGCUGUUGGGACCCGAAAGAUGGUGAACUAUGCCUGAAUAGGGUGAAGCCAGAGGAAACUCUGGUGGAGGCUCGCAGCGGUUCUGACGUGCAAAUCGAUCGUCAAAUUUGGGUAUAGGGGCGAAAGACUAAUCGAACCAUCUAGUAGCUGGUUCCUGCCGAAGUUUCCCUCAGGAUAGCAGUAACGUUUUCAGUUUUAUGAGG